AACGCCACUCACGGAGGUAGAGCUGCAGCCACUGCGACGCAUACCCACACAGAUAUAUACGCAUUCCUACAGGCGCACACGCAUUCAAACGCACACGGCGUGACACACACUCUCUGUCUGUCUGUCUGACUCCCCUCUUUUAUUCAGAUUACCUUCUCGUUGAGAUUUGUGUGUUGGGUCGUUCCCUACCCCCUCUUCGAUACACAUACACACGCAUAUAUAUAUAUAUAUAUACUCCUCAUCUUCCCUUUUCUUCGUCGUCGCCCGCCUCGUUUGAUGUUGUUGCUGCUGCUGCUGCUGCUCUCUCCUUCGCACCUUACGCCCGCCUUACGCACGACUCUCCGUGCAUCUCCCCUCCCCCUCCUUUCUUCCUCUUCAUGUGAGGUGGGCUGUGCGAGUUGACGCGAAGCGGACCACACAAACGCAUACGCACGCGCAGACUCUCUUUCUCUCCGUUUAGCCCUUCUCGUACAUCAUGACGUCUACGUCGCGCGCCGAACGGGAGAACCUAGUCUCCGUCUUUGCCGGCGGGUUUGCCGGCGUCUGCUCGACGUGCGUUACGAACCCUCUCGACACUAUCCGCGUGCGCCUAUCGGCCGGCCGGUCUGCCACAGGAAAGUCACACAAGAGUCUCCUCAUCACAGCACGCGAGCUCUUCAACGAAGGCCUCUUUCACGCCUUCAGUCGCGGUCUCGGUGCCAACAUCAUGGCUUCCAUGCCUUCCAACGCCAUCUACCUUCCCACCUACCGCUUUCUCAAGGGCGAGCUCGCUGAUUCGAGGGUGAGCGAGCAGGUGCGACCGAUGAUCUGCGCCUUUGGUGCCGUCACGGCGACUAACCUGACCCUCUCCCCGCUGUUUGUGAUUCGGACCCGUGUGCAAGUUGACGACAAGCUUACGAUUCACCAAGUGCUGAGCGAUGUUAUGCGCCGCGAUGGCAUGCGUGGCCUCUACCGCGGCACAGUCACCAACAUCGCUGGCCGCUUUGUAGAAGAGGGGUGCUUCUGGACCGUGUAUGAGCUGCUCAAGCGUGUGACGCACGAGGGCAGCUUCGGCGAGCGCGGCUUCUGGUGGUCCUCGGCGGCGAUGGUGUCCUUGACGAUGAUAGCGAAGCUAGUUGCAGUCGGCAUUGCGUACCCGUACAACGUCGUCAUGAACCACCUGCGCACGGUGAACAAGGUAACGGGGGAGCACGACUACGUGCGGGUGAUGCCAACAAUGCGGCACAUUUACGCAGCGGACGGCUUCCUCGGCUUCUACAAGGGAUUGGCCCCGCAGAUGCUACGCAGCGUCAUUAGCAAGGCCACGCAAAUAUACUCGUUUGAGCUGGUGCUAUUCACCUAUGCGCAGGUAUACCACCGCAAGCCACUGCCAGUCCCGGCGGUGCGCAUCAUCGACCCUGCCGCUGAGUCCGACGGAUCGGCAGUCGAGUAACGCAUUAGAGGCGACAGAGAGAGACAAGAGAGAGAGUGGGGCCGUGAGUAAAGGGCGGGCAGUUCUGCUACAAGAGGGGAUGGCAGGGACUCUCGCACACGAGGCGGGGCGACGCUGCCGGUCGCUGAGCGUUCUUUUUCACAUCACUACCUCCCUGCGUUUCCUUCCCCUCUCCCCUUCCCCUCUCUUGCCGUCCCUCACCGCAGGCACACGUGCGUUUGCGUACAAGAGGCUCGUGGAGAGAAGAACCCGGUACGUUCAGCAUAGAGUCUGAGUUGCCCUAGUUGCACCAGUGAGUGAAUGAGGGAGGGGAGGGCGGGCGUGGUGGCUCCCCUUCGCUUCUUCCCUGUCCACACGCUCACUUGCCUUCUUUGCGUCUCCGCCCCAUCACACGGGGGCCCUCUUCCCGUGGACACGGAGGGAGGGAGUGGGGCCGCCAUUGUAACGCAGAGAAACAGAUGAGACCAACACGCACACGCACAGACACAUACGCCAACGCUGCGAAGACACCAUCGUGUGCAGUGAGAAGGCGAGUCUCGAGCAAAGGAAGAAGGAAGGUGAGGGAAGGACUCUGCCACAUAUCUCUCGCUUCUGUCUUUCUCCCCUCUCGUUCUCUCUCUGCCCGUGCGUGUGGGCCGCUCGCUGCUGUUGUUGACGACUGAAGCCGUGAUGAUGACGGGGGUGUCACCUCGGCGUGUGUCGUCUCUGCCACCGUGAGCACCUCAGCAAG
This 2162-nucleotide unclassified non-coding RNA is filed under the name Leishmania donovani. RNAcentral describes it as "gene:LdHU3.15.0150(CDS-product:mitochondrial_carr ier_protein_putative)". Lineage: Eukaryota; Euglenozoa; Kinetoplastea; Trypanosomatida; Trypanosomatidae. The record is from RNAcentral.